This 68-nucleotide transfer RNA is filed under the name Marmota monax (woodchuck). Its description in RNAcentral is "tRNA.Ala". Lineage: Eukaryota; Metazoa; Chordata; Mammalia; Rodentia; Sciuridae. The record is from RNAcentral.
GUGGGGGCUCAGUGGUAGAGCACUUGCCCAGCAUGUGUGAGGCACUGGGUUCAAUUCUCAGCACCACA